This 253-nucleotide ribosomal RNA is filed under the name uncultured bacterium. Its description in RNAcentral is "partial 16S ribosomal RNA". It matches the Rfam family "Bacterial small subunit ribosomal RNA", at positions 524 to 776 of the family's 1533-position model. The record is from RNAcentral.
UACGUAGGGUGCAAGCGUUGUCCGGAAUUAUUGGGCGUAAAGAGCUCGUAGGCGGUUCGUCGCGUCGGCUGUGAAAUCCCGAGGCUCAACCUCGGGUCUGCAGUCGAUACGGGCGGACUGGAGUUCGGCAGGGGAGACUGGAAUUCCUGGUGUAGCGGUGAAAUGCGCAGAUAUCAGGAGGAACACCUGAGGUGAAGACGGGUUGCUGGGCUGACACUGACGCUGAGGCGCGAAAGCCAGGGGAGCAAACGGG